CCUACGGGAGGCAGCAGUGGGGAAUUUUGGACAAUGGGCGCAAGCCUGAUCCAGCAAUGCCGCGUGCAGGAUGAAGGCCUUCGGGUUGUAAACUGCUUUUGUACGGAACGAAACGGUCUGCUCUAAUAAAGCGGGCUAAUGACGGUACCGUAAGAAUAAGCACCGGCUAACUACGUGCCAGCAGCCGCGGUAAUACGUAGGGUGCGAGCGUUAAUCGGAAUUACUGGGCGUAAAGCGUGCGCAGGCGGUUAUAUAAGACAGAUGUGAAAUCCCCGGGCUCAACCUGGGACCUGCAUUUGUGACUGUAUAGCUAGAGUACGGUAGAGGGGGAUGGAAUUCCGCGUGUAGCAGUGAAAUGCGUAGAUAUGCGGAGGAACACCGAUGGCGAAGGCAAUCCCCUGGACCUGUACUGACGCUCAUGCACGAAAGCGUGGGGAGCAAACAGGAUUAGAUACCCUGGUAGUCCACGCCCUAAACCGAUGUCAACUGGUUGUUGGGUCUUCACUGACUCAGUAACGAAGCUAACGCGUGAAGUUGACCGCCUGGGGGAGGUACGGCCGCGAGUAGUAACGUACGAAGUAGAGUUAGACGGCGUGAGAGUUGCGACGGACGACGACGAGGGAGGAGG
This 628-nucleotide ribosomal RNA is filed under the name uncultured bacterium. RNAcentral's name for it is "bacterial SSU rRNA". The stretch from base 1 to 543 matches the Rfam family "Bacterial small subunit ribosomal RNA", at positions 338 to 873 of the family's 1533-position model. The record is from RNAcentral.